GUAGGUGGCAAGCGUUGUCCGGAAUUAUUGGGGCGUAAAGCGCGCGCAGGCGGUUCUUUAAGUCUGAUGUGAAAGCCCACGGCUCAACCGUGGAGGGUCAUUGGAAACUGGAGAACUUGAGUACAGAAGAGGAAAGCGGAAUUCCACGUGUAGCGGUGAAAUGCGUAGAGAUGUGGAGGAACACCAGUGGCGAAGGCGGCUUUCUGGUCUGUAACUGACGCUGAGGCGCGAAAGCGUGGGGAGCAAACAGGAUUAGAUACCCUGGUAGUCCACGCCGUAAACGAUGAGUGCUAAGUGUUAGGGGGUUUCCGCCCCUUAGUGCUGCAGCUAACGCAUUAAGCACUCCGCCUGGGGAGUACGGCCGCAAAGGCUG
Molecule: ribosomal RNA, 373 nt
Filed under: uncultured organism
Description: partial 16S ribosomal RNA
Rfam family: Bacterial small subunit ribosomal RNA
Source: RNAcentral